Molecule: unclassified non-coding RNA, 1190 nt
Filed under: Acromyrmex echinatior (Panamanian leafcutter ant)
Lineage: Eukaryota; Metazoa; Arthropoda; Insecta; Hymenoptera; Formicidae
Description: uncharacterized LOC105152413, transcript variant X2
Source: RNAcentral
ACAUUAAUCGUCUCUUUAUUCGUCUAUAUAUAUAAUAUGUAUAUACCUCCGUUGGCGACAAUAUUUCGAUAAGUCGUGGCUUGGCUUGGUACAAGUUGCGUUUCAUACUUGGAGUAUUAUGAGGGAGGGGGGACAGUAAUUAAUUACAUCGACGCACAGGUAUGCAUAUCAUUAAUCGUACGUAUAUCGUGUAUUUAUAUAACAUAUGCACGCGCGUGAGAUUAUUGUACAGUGUGCGAUGCGCCGCCGUUGACUAAACAUUUUUCAUUUCGAGGAGGGAUUUGGGAAGAGCAGCGGGGAAGGAGAGAUGGGGAUCGAAAACGGUAGUAUUCACAAUAGGAGUAUUUGUGGGGAGGGUAGAUCGCCAUUCUGUAUCAUAUCUAUGUAUACAUAGUGCAAAAUAUAUUAAGGUCGGCCACUCGUACGAGGACAGCGUUGAGACGUCCCUUUUAAAGGCUAGCCGUCCUUUCUGAAUCGCCGAUUAAUUCUCUCGUUCUUAAAAGAGCCAGCGUGAUCGAGCUCCGACGGAAAUCGCACGAGCUCUCUCUAUCGCCUCGACUCUAAUCGUACUAAAAGCACUUUUUACAUUGUUUCAGAUACGACAAAGUGGACUUGUCUCGGCGCGAUAUGAUGAGCAGAGGAGCCUAAAAGUAUCGAUAUUCGACGCUGGCAAGAAUAUCGGGUAUCGAUGCUAUCCAGCAUGCUUAGCUCGACACAUCCGAUAUUUUUUCACUUUAACAAUUUAAGUAAAAAGCGUUGAAUCGGUACUUCUAUGCGCUCCCAUAUACGCGACGCCCGUUGAAUUCGAGCGAUUGGAAAUCCACGAGAACGAUCAAAGCGCACGGAGAUUCGCCGAUAUGUGAUUCAUGCGUCUGAACUUCGAUCAUAUAUUUUCGGACGAAUCGCAUCUUAAUUAAUCACGACAGUUUGACUUUACAGUUGUAUUGUAUUAUAAUAUCGCGAAAAGUGAUUAUCAUACUUUAAUAAUUAAAGCGCGCGCGAUCGUAAUUAACCGUUGUUUUCGCGAGUGAGUGUGCGAGUGCCAUGAAGAUAGAAUGGAAAAACGAGAGAGGAGGAAGCCCGAGGACAUAUCAUGCGACGAUCAAUCUGGUUAUAUUAGCUCCACUGCUGUGCAUUGUUUGUUUAAGGUAGCAGUUCUUCGCGCCUUCAAGGAAAGAUACAGAAAUGAG